AGCGAACGCUGGCGGCAGGCUUAACACAUGCAAGUCGAGCGGGCAUCCUUGUGGUGUCAGCGGCAGACGGGUGAGUAACGCGUGGGAAUGUGCCCUUCGGUUCGGAAUAACUCAGGGAAACUUGAGCUAAUACCGGAUACGUGCGAGAGCAGAAAGGUUUAUCUGCCGAAGGAUCGGCCCGCGUCUGAUUAGCUAGUUGGUGAGGUUAUGGCUCACCAAGGCGACGAUCAGUAGCUGGUCUGAGAGGAUGAUCAGCCACACUGGGACUGAGACACGGCCCAGACUCCUACGGGAGGCAGCAGUGGGGAAUAUUGGACAAUGGGGGCAACCCUGAUCCAGCCAUGCCGCGUGAGUGAUGACGGCCUUAGGGUUGUAAAGCUCUUUUCUCCGGGACGAUAAUGACGGUACCGGAGGAAUAAGCCCCGGCUAACUUCGUG
This 437-nucleotide ribosomal RNA is filed under the name uncultured bacterium. RNAcentral describes it as "partial 16S ribosomal RNA". It matches the Rfam family "Bacterial small subunit ribosomal RNA", at positions 29 to 507 of the family's 1533-position model. The record is from RNAcentral.